This 254-nucleotide ribosomal RNA is filed under the name uncultured bacterium. RNAcentral's name for it is "partial 16S ribosomal RNA". It matches the Rfam family "Bacterial small subunit ribosomal RNA", at positions 524 to 776 of the family's 1533-position model. The record is from RNAcentral.
UACGUAGGGUGCGAGCGUUAAUCGGAAUUACUGGGCGUAAAGCGUGCGCAGGCGGUCUGUUAAGACCGAUGUGAAAUCCCCGGGCUUAACCUGGGAACUGCAUUGGUGACUGGCAGGCUUUGAGUGUGGCAGAGGGAGGUAGAAUUCCACGUGUAGCAGUAAAAUGCGUAGAGAUGUGGAGGAAUACCGAUGGCGAAGGCAGCCUCCUGGGCCAACACUGACGCUCAUGCACGAAAGCGUGGGGAGCAAACAGG